RNAcentral lists this ribosomal RNA (253 nucleotides) under uncultured bacterium. RNAcentral describes it as "partial 16S ribosomal RNA". It matches the Rfam family "Bacterial small subunit ribosomal RNA", at positions 524 to 776 of the family's 1533-position model. The record is from RNAcentral.
UACGAAGGGGGCUAGCGUUGCUCGGAAUUACUGGGCGUAAAGCGCACGUAGGCGGCUUGUUAAGUCAGGGGUGAAAUCCUGGAGCUCAACUCCAGAACUGCCUUUGAUACUGAGGAUCUUGAGUACGGGAGAGAUGAGUGGAACUGCGAGUGUAGAGGUGAAAUUCGUAGAUAUUCGCAAGAACACCAGUGGCGAAGGCGGCUCACUGGCCCGUAACUGACGCUGAGGCACGAAAGCGUGGGGAGCAAACAGG